AUUCAAUAUUGCAACAUAAAAAUUCCAAAUCGUUUAACUUUACAGUCAAGGCUAAGGCAUAAAGAAGAAACCCAAGAAAUUUCAGCUCAUUUGGAGAAGUAUUUUUCGAGUAAUUGUGGUUGCCAAUAUUAAAUGUGUUGUUGUGAGGAAAACGCGUUUAAAGUUUUGAAAAUCUGCUAUGCGCUGAAAAAGCAUUAUCGAAAAAUGAAGAAGAAACAUAUAAGGUUCAAUUUUCGACCUGAAACUUUUGGAGCGUACCCUACGGGAGAUUUCUUAAUAUUUUAGAGGAACAAAAAAUCUAAUUUUUUGACGUUCUAAACGAAAAAAAUUUUCAAGAAAAAAACUUUAAUAAAAAGUUGCAAUAUAAAUAAACGUGCAAACACUAAAACAUCUGAAUUCAAAAGAGAAAAAAAAUACAGGAAAUGAGCGGAAAUUACUACGCUUUUUAGUAUGCACAACACAAACGAGUUGGUACAGUCCAAGUUAAUAGUUGCAAUGCGGAGUUGACUCAAAUCUGAAAUUAAAAUCGUAAACUUGACUUGUGCGCUCUCGUUACUUGGAGUUUAUAAGAAUAGUAAGCGGCAAUAUGAUUUGAAGCAGAAAUAUUUUCCUCACCGCCAGACAUCUUUUUCUGAAGACCCUUCUGGAGAUCGGCUGCGGGAACAAUGCAAUAAAUUCAGUUUAACAACAUAAUUUCUAUUAGUCUAUAGAAUAAAAUGCCUUUAAAAAAAUCAAUAAAAGAAA
This is a long non-coding RNA of Ceratitis capitata (Mediterranean fruit fly), 744 nucleotides long. RefSeq lists it as uncharacterized. The transcript is spliced from 3 exons. The record is from RefSeq and is a predicted model, not a curated record. NCBI's taxonomy places the organism in Eukaryota, Metazoa, Arthropoda, Insecta, Diptera, Tephritidae.